RNAcentral lists this ribosomal RNA (250 nucleotides) under uncultured bacterium. Its description in RNAcentral is "partial 16S ribosomal RNA". It matches the Rfam family "Bacterial small subunit ribosomal RNA", at positions 524 to 775 of the family's 1533-position model. The record is from RNAcentral.
UACGUAGGGUGCGAGCGUUGUCCGGAAUUAUUGGGCGUAAAGAGCUCGUAGGCGGUUUGUCGCGUCUGCUGUGAAAUCCCGAGGCUCAACCUCGGGUCUGCAGUGGGUACGGGCAGACUAGAGUGUGGUAGGGAGAUUGGAAUUCCUGGUGUAGCGGUGGAAUGCGCAGAUAUCAGGAGGAACACCGAUGGCGAAGGCAGAUCUCUGGGCCAUACUGACGCUGGAGGAGCGAAAGCAUGGGAGCGAACAG